CAGUCGCCGCGGUAAUACGUAGGGUGCGAGCGUUAAUCGGAAUUACUGGGCGUAAAGCGUGCGCAGGCGGUUAUAUAAGACAGAUGUGAAAUCCCCGGGCUCAACCUGGGACCUGCAUUUGUGACUGUAUAGCUAGAGUGCGGUAGAGGGGGAUGGAAUUCCGCGUGUAGCAGUGAAAUGCGUAGAUAUGCGGAGGAACACCGAUGGCGAAGGCAAUCCCCUGGACCUGUACUGACGCUCAUGCACGAAAGCGUGGGGAGCAAACAGGAUUAGAUACCCCUGUAGUCCCUGUCUCUUAUAC
RNAcentral lists this ribosomal RNA (301 nucleotides) under uncultured bacterium. Its description in RNAcentral is "partial 16S ribosomal RNA". It matches the Rfam family "Bacterial small subunit ribosomal RNA", at positions 509 to 807 of the family's 1533-position model. The record is from RNAcentral.